This 29-nucleotide non-coding RNA is filed under the name Cricetulus griseus (Chinese hamster). The record is from RNAcentral. Lineage: Eukaryota; Metazoa; Chordata; Mammalia; Rodentia; Cricetidae.
AAUCAGAAGGAUUGUGUUGGUAUUUCUAG